RNAcentral lists this transfer RNA (63 nucleotides) under Ptilodactylidae sp. 2 ACP-2013. RNAcentral describes it as "tRNA-Glu". Lineage: Eukaryota; Metazoa; Arthropoda; Insecta; Coleoptera; Ptilodactylidae. The record is from RNAcentral.
UGUUUAUAUAGUUUAUUAAAACAUUACAUUUUCAAUGUAAAAUUGAGAUAUAUCUCUUUAAAU